This 21-nucleotide small nuclear RNA is filed under the name Arabidopsis thaliana (thale cress). RNAcentral's name for it is "snRNA_12776". Lineage: Eukaryota; Viridiplantae; Streptophyta; Magnoliopsida; Brassicales; Brassicaceae. The record is from RNAcentral.
UUCUUAUGUUCGGCAGAAGAU